GAUGAACGCUGGCGGCGUGCCUAAUACAUGCAAGUCGAGCGAACAGACGAGGAGCUUGCUCCUCUGACGUUAGCGGCGGGCGGGUGAGUAACACGUGGAUAACCUACCUAUAAGACUGGGAUAACUUCGGGAAACCGGAGCUAAUACCGGAUAACAUGUUGAACCGCAUGGUUCAACAGUGAAAGACGGUCUUGCUGUCACUUAUAGAUGGAUCCGCGCCGCAUUAGCUAGUUGGUAAGGUAACGGCUUACCAAGGCAACGAUGCGUAGCCGACCUGAGAGGGUGAUCGGCCACACUGGAACUGAGACACGGUCCAGAGUCCUACGGGAGGCAGCAGUAGGGAAUCGUCGGCAAUGGGCGAAAGCCUGACGGAGCAACGCCGCGUGAGUGAAGAAGGUCUUCGGAUCGUAAAACUCUGUUAUUAGGGAAGAACAAAUGUGUAAGUAACUAUGCACGUCUUGACGGUACCUAAUCAGAAAGCCACGGCUAACUACGUG
RNAcentral lists this ribosomal RNA (497 nucleotides) under uncultured bacterium. RNAcentral's name for it is "partial 16S ribosomal RNA". It matches the Rfam family "Bacterial small subunit ribosomal RNA", at positions 28 to 507 of the family's 1533-position model. The record is from RNAcentral.